UCCUUCCCCUCCGCCGCCUGACCUCCUCCUUGCACCCGCUGCUGCCCGGUCUCCUCCCGCCCGCGCCUCCCUCUCCUCCUUCCUCGCUGCCGCCCGGCCUCCUCCCCACCCGUGCCUUCCUCUCCUACUUCCACCCCACCGAUCUGGCGCCACCAAACCCUAGCACCCCACUCGGCCCCGGCUCCCACGGGAGGGAAGGAGGAAUGACGAGGCGAGGCAAAGGCGGCGGCGUAUGGGACGUGGCGCGGGCAGCGUGGCCCAGGGGGUCGGCCUCCUCCUCUCCUACGGUGGCGUGCCGCCUCCGCCGUCGGUAGGAGGGGGCCCGAUGGCCGCCGCGCAGCCCGACCAGGAGCUCCCCGGCGAGUAGCCGUUCCCCUACGAGAAGAAGGUGAGGAGGACACGCCCCUGCGUCAAGAGAUCCGUCAAGAGUUGCUCGCGCUGGGAGAGGAAUCCACGUCUGCUCCUGCUGCUCGACUGAUUCUAGAUCGAGGGACGCCUGCUUCUGCUCGCUACGGACGGCGCCCGCCAGCCACACAGAAGUAGACUCAGCGGACAUUAUGUCAUGGACGAACUGUAGGUGGCUCAGUCUGAUUGACACAAGAAAGGGGCAAGGCCAGCUCCAUGUUCCUCUAGCAGAACUGGACCACCAAUCGUUAUAGUUCUGGUCUCAGGAAGCAGGAUGAAUUGGUCCAUCAACGAACACUUUUGCUGCAAAUCUUGGCAGGUAAUUGCUAGCUUAGCAACACAAAUACCUCACAUUGAUAUACGUACAAUGUCAUCAUAGGUGGUUUAUUACUCUUGGUUUUCUUUUGAGAGGGUAGUGAUUUAAGAAGAAUAGUUUGAACUUGAGACUACAAAUAAUCACAGAAAAUAUAGGUGUAACAGUUAUAUGGGUGUACUUAGAUCUACGUUGGUGGUGACAUCAUAGGACAUCACAAAGAUAGAGUUGUUGAUUUGAUUUUCAGCCAAUUAAUUUCACACGGAAUCUAAACGUAAGUUAAGUAUUACUACGAUUUCUCCCUUAAGUAUGAUGAAUCAAUUUGUUUAAAAUAGCAGAUAUUCGUUAAUGGUGCAAGCUUGUAAUAGGUAUUGUGACAAAUUUGUUUUCUCAAUGAUGAUGGAAGUUGAUGAAAGCACCGAAGGAACAAUUGAAUAAGACAUGUUCGACAAGAGAAAAACAUUAAGGGGAAGAAAAUGAUGGACAAUUUGUUCAUUGGCUGCAGUUUUUUUAACAUAGUUUCACAUUCAGUCAAUGCUCUGCUCGGUUUUAGUUUCUUUGGGCAUGUGCUCUAUAUAGCUUUAUGGUCUCUCCUUCUGGCCUACCAUGUUGUUUUAUAAUUUAUUUCUGUUCACAAACCUAGGCUUAGUCAGUGUUAUACCGUAUUAGACUAUGUGUUCUGUCCAGCAGGGAUUAUUUAUCUGUGCUUCUUGGUGUGCCCAGAGAGUCUGAUUAGAGAAAAGUCAGUUCACAUCUCAGUAGCUUUUGUUGUUUACUUAGUCAGCAUGGUGCAGGUUCAUAUAGCAGUACACAUGUGUGAAUAGAAACUCUUCAUGCAAGGUGGCAGUAAAAGGCCUUUUGAUUUUACCUUCGGCACUACAAGCAGCUAAUAAAUAGGCCCAUUGAUAAGUUUUGACCACAAGAAUGUUCUAACAAACCUUAUCUUUGAUUGCGGCUAAAAGAGAACUAACUAGGCCCUAGUCAUCUUCGCCCCUGAUAGUGCUCCUAGAUGUGCUACACAUCACCUCCUCGUCUCCUUGGCCGCUUCGCAGCCAGUGGCGUUCGUGCUCGUCGGCAGGAUGGUGCAAGGCGCAACUCCGACGUGGUUCCUCGCCGGUUGGACGGUGUUCAGGCGCAACCCCGGCGCCCACUGAGUAUUGCCUCGGCUACAACCUCCCUCGGUGAGCUCCAUCUUCCCCUGCAGCUUGAGGAUCCAACUGCCUCUGCCUCGGCUGCCUCUGUCCUUGGAUGGUCAUUCUUGUUGAGUGAUAACCAGGGCAACUCUAUUGUAUAAAUAGAUUGAUUUGGUGAUAAGAGAUGAUGGGGUAGGUUAUAUGAUCGAGGAAAGGCGAAUCUGAGCCCACUAUGCAAUAGAACUGCAGCUACCUCCCCUAAUGUGUGUAGUAUUGAAGGCAAUAAAGAACUUUUCAUGUCUUGCUACUUUAAAAUUAAAAAAAGGUUCAUUCUUCCUUUGCUGGUUACUUAACCAUGAUUUUUGUUUUGCUUUGGUUCUGGUUGAGAUACUAAAGGUUGUUUAUUUAUGAAAAGAACAAACACUUGUAGUUUUGUAUGCCUCAGUUGUUGCUUAGGAUCCAGUGUUGUAGUGCUUUGCCUAAUUACAAAUAACUCUAAUCAACAAUAGUGGUAUCAAUAAUAGUGGUUCUUUCCUUCUGAUUUGAACUGAGAGAGAGAGCCAUUGGUUCUUGAUCUUAAGGUGACCCCAUUUUUCUAUGCCUCAUGCUCAUGCUGCUCUAUGUUCCCUUUUAAAAAUUCUUGCUUGCAUUUUGGGUUGGUUUCUGCUCUAUGUUCCCUUUUAGCGUUUCUUUCCGUUGUUGCUGCACUCCCUUUUGGGCGUUCAUUUCAUGCCCGGGAUCUUGCAAAUUGUGCCUGUGCCGAGCUUGCUUUAGAGUACGGGCUGCGGAGACGUCGAGGACCUCAAGGUCACCGAUGUUGUGGAGCUGGACAAGGUUUCCACGCAGUUCAUCGACCACCUGUUCUUCCUGGAGAAGGUCUAGAGAUGAUUUACUCUGCCAGGCGGCAGCACUCGAAGCACACAGGAUCCUGAACCUCAACAACGACCCCUACUUUUCUGGGCCCUAAUUUAUUCAAAGAACACUACAUGUCACAUGAAUUCAAAAUUACUUCUCUAGAGGUAAUUAUUAGAACCAGCUUCUUGAGUUUGCUUGCUUAGCAUGUAGUAGUAUGCUGAUUUCAUCGAUUACAGUAUGAAUGCUUAUAAAAUGAUGAUUCUAUCGAUUUUGUGGGAUUUUGUGAUUCCUAUGGAAUUAAGAUUAAGAGCCCACCUAUUGGCCUGGCCCUAAUGUAAGAUCAAUCACGCCUGUUACUUAGUUUUCCAGUUGGAUUCACUUAGCUCACUUGGAUCAUAGGUAGUUCUUCCUCUAAUUAACCAUAGAAAAGUUUUUAUGAAUUGUGAAAUGUUUGCUUGUUGUUUCUGCAAUAUGAUGUUUGUGCUUACCAUCUUCUAUUGUUUCCUAUGUUUUUCUCAGUUAUUCAAAGAACACUACAUGUCACAUGAAUUCAAAAUUACUUCUCUGGAGUUAUUCAAAGAACACUACAUGUCACAUGAAUUCAAAAUUACUUCUCUGGAGAAAAUACCAAGGAAGACUGGUGGGACUAUGGUUUGGCAAGGAGAGCUUUACUAGGACUGAGUAUGACGAACAAGUAUGGAUGCAAGAAAUUUCUCCUGAAAAUAGGACUUGAGAUAUUCUCCAUGUUUGAUGGCCAUGACCGAGGUUUGAUGUUUUUGUAUUUGCUGGGAUUUGAUAGGACCAGGAGUCCAGGACCAUGAUACUCGUAGUAUCGUUCCAUGGCACUGACAGGUACGUCAUAUAUUUGAUGAUGCAGCCCCUACCUUUUUGUAAUUUUUAUUUAUGAGGCAUCUCCUAUCUUUGGCUUGGGGUUAUUUUUGGCAGGCCUAUUGUUUGCUGCUUGUGAUGAUUGAUAGAGGUUUUGGGUCUAUGUUUAAGCCUCGGUGAGGUUUUGGGUCUCUGUUUAAUCCUUGGUUCAUGAGGAUCCAUAUAUAGGUGGUUCAUAUGUUAAUUGGUUAUGAUUUCCUUGUGUUGAUUGGUGGCCUUCGACGGAUUCGUGCAACUAUAUGCAUUACUCAUGUUUGUUGCUUUCCCAGUGAAACAUAUCACAUGCUCAGCAAGAAAACAAAGUCUCAGCCUACUACCUGCAAGACUUUAGUCUUUAAUGACUAAAUGAACGGAUCACAUGAUACAUAGAUGGGGAAUGCCAUUGCUCAAAGGCGAGCAUACGUGACCUUGUUGAAGGAGUUUUGCCCUCCGUUUGUGUCUCAAAUGUCGAUGAUGCCCUCUGUGCUAUCACUCGCAUGUCCUUUUUAUUUUGUUUAUUCAGCGAAUGUUGGAUUAGACAAGGAUUUAUUCACGUUGGAUCUGUACAACUAUGGACUAUUCAUGCAAUUUUUUAUUCAAACUUUGAAAUGA
Long non-coding RNA from Triticum aestivum (bread wheat), 4185 nucleotides. RefSeq lists it as uncharacterized. The transcript is spliced from 9 exons. The record is from RefSeq and is a predicted model, not a curated record. Lineage: Eukaryota; Viridiplantae; Streptophyta; Magnoliopsida; Poales; Poaceae.